This 548-nucleotide ribosomal RNA is filed under the name uncultured Glomeromycotina. Its description in RNAcentral is "SSU rRNA". It matches the Rfam family "Eukaryotic small subunit ribosomal RNA", at positions 548 to 1098 of the family's 1831-position model. The record is from RNAcentral. Lineage: Eukaryota; Fungi; Glomeromycota.
UUGGAGGGCAAGUCUGGUGCCAGCAGCCGCGGUAAUUCCAGCUCCAAUAGCGUAUAUUAAAGUUGUUGCAGUUAAAAAGCUCGUAGUUGAAUUUCGGGAUCAAGGAAUCGGUCAUGCCUUGGUAUGUACUGGUUUUAUUGGUUCUCACCUUCUAAAGAACCAUAAUGUCAUUUAUUUGAUGUUAUGGGGAAUUAGGACUGUUACCUUGAAAAAAUUAGAGUGUUCAAAGCAAGCUUACGCUUGAAUACAUUAGCAUGGAAUAAUGAAAUAGGACAUCAGAUUCUAUUUUGUUGGUUUCUAGGAUCGAUGUAAUGAUUAAUAGGGAUAGUUGGGGGCAUUAGUAUUCAAUUGUCAGAGGUGAAAUUCUUGGAUUUAUUGAAGACUAACUACUGCGAAAGCAUUUGCCAAGGAUGUUUUCAUUAAUCAAGAACGAAAGUUAGGGGAUCGAAGACGAUCAGAUACCGUCGUAGUCUUAACCAUAAACUAUGCCGACUAGGGAUCGGAUGAUGUUAAUUUUUUAAUGACUCAUUCGGCGCCUUACGGGAAAC